This 301-nucleotide ribosomal RNA is filed under the name uncultured bacterium. RNAcentral's name for it is "partial 16S ribosomal RNA". It matches the Rfam family "Bacterial small subunit ribosomal RNA", at positions 509 to 807 of the family's 1533-position model. The record is from RNAcentral.
CAGUAGCCGCGGGAAUACGUAGGGUGCGAGCGUUAAUCGGAAUUACUGGGCGUAAAGCGUGCGUAGGCGGUUUGUUAAGUCUGUUGUGAAAUCCCCGGGCUCAACCUGGGAAUGGCAAUGGAUACUGGCAAGCUAGAGUGUGUCAGAGGAUGGUGGAAUUCCCGGUGUAGCGGUGAAAUGCGUAGAGAUCGGGAGGAACAUCAGUGGCGAAGGCGGCCAUCUGGGACAACACUGACGCUGAGGCACGAAAGCGUGGGGAGCAAACAGGAUUAGAUACCCCUGUAGUCCCUGUCUCUUAUAC